This 778-nucleotide ribosomal RNA is filed under the name uncultured Neocallimastigales. RNAcentral's name for it is "partial large subunit ribosomal RNA". It matches the Rfam family "Eukaryotic large subunit ribosomal RNA", at positions 23 to 639 of the family's 3401-position model. Lineage: Eukaryota; Fungi; Neocallimastigomycota; Neocallimastigomycetes; Neocallimastigales. The record is from RNAcentral.
UAGAGACUCAGAGCUGCAUAUCAAUAAGCGGAGGAAAAGAAACUAACAAGGAUUCCCCUAGUAACGGCGAGUGAAGCGGGAAGAGCUCAAAUUUGAAAUCUUCAAGGGUUUCCCUUGACGAAUUGUAGUUUAAAGAAGUGUUUUCUGUUAGAGAGGUGGUAAAAGUUCUUUGGAAUAGGACAUCAUAGAGGGUGAGAAUCCCGUAUUUGAUCACUUUCUACUAACGUUGUGAUACACUUUCAAAGAGUCGGAUUGUUUGGGAAUGCAGUCCAAAAUGGGUGGUAAAUUUCAUCUAAAGCUAAAUAUUGGCGAGAGACCGAUAGCGAACAAGUACCGUGAGGGAAAGAUGAAAAGAACUUUGAAAAGAGAGUUAAACAGUACGUGAAAUCGUCAAAAGGGAAGCGUUUGACACCAGUGUUGUUUUCUCGAAAAUCUAUUAAAAAUGGCUUGAUUUUGUGUUGUAUUGACUUUAUCGGCUUUCUGCACUCUUUUCAUUGUCUUUUUUAAUGCACUUUUCGUUUAACAAGUCAACAUCAAUUUCUUUUGUUGUAAAAGGGUCAUUGGAAGGUGGCUUUCUUUUCGGAGAAAGUGUUUAUAGCCUUUGAUCUCUGCAAUCCGGAGAGACUGAGGUCUGCAGCGUAGACUCCUUCGGGGUUAGAUGCAUUUGUGCUAAGCUAUAGCCUUUUAUAGACAACUUGUUGACUAUGAUUAGUCAUUGUAGCUUACUCGCUUAUGCUAUUUUACCUACGCUUAGGAUGUUGAUAUGCAUGACUGAUAU